CCCUUCCUUCGGCCCCGCCCAGCCCCGCCGGCCGCCCGCUCCCUGGGGAACCGAGGGAGGAAUGGGCGGGGUCCUCAGGUGCCCGGCGACGUCAUCCAGCCCCCAAGGCUCCAGGACGCAAAGGGUCCCCUGAUCUGGCAGUCCCUGGACCUACCCUGGAGAGCGUGGGGGGACAAAGGCCGGACGCGCCGCCCGCUGCCGCCUCCAGGAAGCCCUCCCUUGCCAGGACAGUGGAGUUGGCCGGGUCCUUCCAAAGUGCCUACGGAAAGCUUUGUCCCAUCCUUGAAAAAUUGCUAAUGGGUUUGGAGAUACGAGGUGGAGAUGACUAGCAAUCAAACUCAAAGGUGGAAGUCACAUCGAGGCAGAUGAGCAGAUGAGGGGACCUAGAGAAGAAGAGAGGUGCAAGGAGAGCCCAGCCAGCAGGAACAUCUGCCCCAGUAGGCAGCACUGCCCCACAUCAGAGUCGAGGAAAGCAAAGCUCGGAUUGGAUAAAAGAAACUUGCAAACACGGUCAGUGCUUACUGCAUGUGGGCUCAGAGCACGUUACCCUCCUUCCCUGCAUGUUCCUGUGAAACGGGUUUACUGCUCUAACUCUCAGGGACACUGUGAAGACCAAACGAGAAAAUAGAAACAAACAUAAUUUAUAAACCAUAAAGUACUGACACCAAAAGAGGGGCGAGCACAGCAUUGUGAAUGUGCUGGUACUAAAUGGUUUGUUUUAAGAUGAUUUUAUGGUGUGUGAAUUUCACUUGAAUAAAUUUUUUUAAUGGAGUUCAUGGGGACGCUGCAGGAUGUCAAUUAACUUUGGACAUUUUAGCAGCGCUUUAGGUGUUAAAAUUAUUUUUUAAAAAAUACAGGAUGAAGGGAAAAGCUUCAUGACAUUGGAUUUGGCAGUGAUUCCUUGGAUAUGACCCCAAAAGCACAGAUAACGAAAGAAAAAAUAGUUAAAUUGUCUUCAUCAAAAUUAAAACUUUUGUACAUCAAAGAACUCUUUCAAAAGAGUGAAAAAGUCACAGAAUAAGAGAAAAUCAUAUACCUGAUAAAGAAUUAAUAUUCAGAGCCAGAUGCAGUGGCUCAUGCCUGUAAUCCCAGCACUUUGGGAGGCCAAGGCAGGCAGAUCACUUGAGAUCAGGAGUUCGAGACAAGCCUGGCUAAAAUGGUGAAACCCCAGCUCUACUAAAAAUACAAAAAUUAGCCAGGCGUGGUGGCGUGCACCUGGAAUCCCAGCUAUUCGGGAGGCUGAGGCAGGAGAAUCGCUUGAACUCAGAAGGCAGAGGUUGCAGUGAGCCAAGAUCACACCACUGCACUCCAGCCUGGGCGACAAAGUGAGACUCCAUCUCAAAAAAACAAAACAAAACAAAACAAAACAAAGAGUUACUAUUCAGAAUAUAUUAAGAAUUCCUACAACUCAACAACAAAAAAAAAUCCAACCCAAUUAAAAAAUGGGCAACAGACCCAAAUAGACAUUUCUUAGAAGACACACAAAUGGCCAAUAAGCUCAUGAAAACAUGUUUAACAUCACUAAUCAUUAGGGAAAUGCAAAUCAAAGCUAAAAUGAGAUACCACGUCACACUCAUUAGGUGUUAUUUUUUAAAAAUAACACAACAACAAAAAAUAAGAAAUGUGGGCGAGGAUGUGAAGAAAUUGAAACCCUUGUGGACUGUUGUUGGGGAUGUAAAAUGGCGCAGCUGCUGGGGAAAACAGUAUGGGAGUUCCUCACAAAACUAAACAGAAUUGCCAAACGACCCAGCGAUCCUGCCUCUGACAUAUACUGGAAAGAACUGAAAUAAGGCGCUGGAACAGACACUUGUAACCCAUGUUCACAGCUGAGCCAAAAGGUGGGAGUAACCCAAAUGUCCAUCAGUGGAUGAAUACUGGCAAUAAAAGCUGUGUCUGGAGGCCACUCCGUUUCACACAGCUCUCCACACGGGUGAGGGCACAGCCUUCUCGUCUCUUUCCUAUGCUGCAUCUUCAGAGCUAGCUAUGAUAUGAUAUGAUGUGAUAUGUACAUAUCGAAUAUACAUGUUUUACAUGCAAA
Molecule: long non-coding RNA, 2038 nt
Filed under: Homo sapiens (human)
Lineage: Eukaryota; Metazoa; Chordata; Mammalia; Primates; Hominidae
Description: DENND3 antisense RNA 1, transcript variant 1 (DENND3-AS1)
Source: RNAcentral